Triticum aestivum (bread wheat) is the source of this 2389-nucleotide long non-coding RNA. RefSeq lists it as uncharacterized. The record is from RefSeq and is a predicted model, not a curated record. NCBI's taxonomy places the organism in Eukaryota, Viridiplantae, Streptophyta, Magnoliopsida, Poales, Poaceae. The transcript is spliced from 7 exons.
CGCUGUUCUGGUCCCGCUCGUCGGCUGCUACUUCUGUGUCUCUCGUCUGCAUUUGCAGUUGGAGAGAGAAGAUGGACUGCAGCUACCCGAUGCAUCGUGUGUGCCUCACCUCCAUCUGCGCACUUGGACAGAGAGAUGGACUGGCGCCUAUGACGCCCUGGUCGACUCCGCGGCCGUCGCCGUCCGUGAGCCCGGGUGCACGGUGGCGCUCACAGACCUCCACCGCUGCGUUGACGCUUCAGCGAGUCCUGCGACCGAGCCGAGGGCCUCGUCCAGGUGGCCGCCGCCGGCCUCGGCCCCGCGCCUCCCGCCACAAUGAGCUGUUCCGCGUGCUCUUGGACCUCCACCGCUGCCUCGACGCCUUCAGCGAGUACCGCGACCGAGCCAAGGGCCUCGUCCAGGCGGCCGCCACGGCCCCGCCGCCUCCCGCCACGACAAGCUGUUCCGCGCCAUGCGCGUGGUCGACAAAGAUCUCUGGGCCGCCGCUGCCGGCUGGGAGAAGAAUCGCCCUCCGACCACGCCGCUGGCAGCCGAGGACAAAUAGCCCAAUCGAUCUACCUCGUCUCCUAUUCAGGUGAUGUUUAUCAUUCUUGUUUUUUUCAUGUGAUGUUCAUCGUUCCUCUUAUUUUCUCGGUUGAUGUGCUAAUCAUGUUAGUCAAAGAUGAAUGUAACUGUGACGGGAAAGGAGAGAUGGACCGGGAUAUUUUGCCUCGGUGUGUCGCAUGGUGGCCGAGAUGCGGCAGCCCCAUGCUCUGUUCUGAUGGGCCUCCUCUGCUCGAUGGUUGCCGCUGGUUGAGUUUGGUACAGUUUCCUGUUGUCGCUUGCAUCGAGCCCGGGGUCCAUCUCUCCUUCUCAUUGAGCCUACUUCUCCUAUCGCUGGCGCUUCUUCUUCUUGUCCGUCCUGUUGCUUAACCAACGUGCUUCUGCUUGCUGCCUCAGGUUGUACGAUCUCUUCUGUCGCUGCGUAGUUCGACUCAUCAAGUCUUCUCCACCCUCGACAUGCGUAGGCCAAAAAGGCGGAGACGAGUCAUGAUCCUCCAGGCUAUGGCUGCUGGUUGCAGACAACGUUUAAGCACAGGAAUCGCAAGUUGUGCCCCAUGAGGCCAGCGACCCCCACGUGGCCAGCAACUAAAGGCCAGAUUCAUUCUCGUUGAAUGUAACCUGCCUGGCAGUAAAUUAGUGUCACAUUGGUAGUUUUUGAUCUUUUAAAAUUUGAUUAACUAAUUUGGGCUCUAACAGAUUCUGUAGUUGUCUGUUGUUUCUUAUUUGCAGGUUAUCUUUAGCUUGGACGAAAAUGAAUGGACGAGCUUCAGUAUGACGAGGAGAAAGCAAUCUUGUUCAGUUUUCAUCAAAACAGAUGAAGGACAACCAUGUAAAAGUGGAGCAGUCAUGGGCCUGUUAUAGAGAUCUUGGUGAAGAACUCGUCACUGCAAUUUUGUCAAAUGGGUGUUGAGAUUGAAGUUUCUGCUUUUGUUGACUUUCUGAUAAAUUACAACAACAUCGACAAGGCAAAGUUAUGAUUCCUUGCUGUCCGAUGUAUCAUGUUUUUUAUGGUAAAGGAAUAACAAUUUAUAUGUGUGUAGGUUAUGUGGGAGCCUUUCAUAGAGCCCUCAUAUAUUUAGUUAAAUAUACUUUGAAAUAUGCUGAUCAUGCACUGGAUGUAUCUCCCAGUACUAUGUGUUGCUAAAUUCAAGCAAGCAGCUUAAUGUUAACAUAUCAGAGCCCUUGAUCGAGGUACAUGAUCUUGGCAUACUGUAUUUUCCAAACUUGCCAAGAGAUAAAUUAUUGUUCUGUCCUAUCUUCAAGUGAUUAACAUGAGUAGUUUCCUGCUGCCACUAUCAUCUUGAUUAAUGUGAUUCAGGAAUCAAGGCAGUGGUCUGCAGAUAGAAUGUAGCUACAUAUCUUAUUUCAGGGAGCAUUACACCUAUUUAGCUUAGAAGUUUUUUUCUUAUAUUAAACUCAGCAGUGUGUGAUAAUUCGAGCCUCCAUGGAAGCAUCAACCGGAUCUGGCCGGCCCACAUACGCAUGCCUCCUCUUUCCCCGGUGGCUCAUGGAAGCGGCGGCGUACGAUGAUGGCUUCCAUAUGGAGCAGAGGAAUCACAAUAGAUAGUUCUUAUGUUACAUGUCCAAAGGAGAGCAUUGUUUCACGGAAGCAUGGAUUACACCCACGCCAGUGACCAGUGAAGAAAGGGCUCAUGAACAAGAUAAAAAAAUUUCAACCAUCUUUUGUUUACAAGGAAAGACGUUUUUUGUUAAAUUAGUCUUGUCGACUUCCGUCUGUGUUAUCGUAUUCUACCUCUUCUAUUAUAUCCAAAUUACUAUAUGAUGUAAUUGACCACUCUUAUUAAGAAUUGGGCACAGUGAUUUAUGCUAUCAUUAUCUUAAGUAA